This 497-nucleotide ribosomal RNA is filed under the name uncultured bacterium. RNAcentral's name for it is "partial 16S ribosomal RNA". It matches the Rfam family "Bacterial small subunit ribosomal RNA", at positions 28 to 507 of the family's 1533-position model. The record is from RNAcentral.
GAUGAACGCUGGCGGCGUGCCUAAUACAUGCAAGUCGAGCGAACAGACGAGGAGCUUGCUCCUCUGACGUUAUCGGCGGACGGGUGAUUAACACGUGGAUAACCUACCUAUAAGACUGGGAUAACUUCGGGAAACCGGAGCUAAUACCCGAUAAUAUAUUGAACCGCAUGGUUCAAUAGUUAAAGAAGGUUUUUCUGUCACUUAUAGAUUGAUCCGCGCGGCAUUAGCUAGUUGGUUAGGUAACGGCUUACCAAGGCAACGAUGCGGAGACGACCUGAGAGGGUGAUCGGCCACACUGGAACUGAGAAACGGUCCAGACUCCUACGGGAGGCAGCAGUAGGGAAUCUUCCGCAAUGGGCGAAAGCUUGACGGAGCAACGCCGCGUGAGUGAUGAAGGUCUUCGGAUCGUAAAACUAUGUUAUUAGGGAAGAACAAAUGUGUAAGUAACUAUGCACGUCUUGACGGUACCUAAUCAGAAAGCCACGGCUAACUACGUG